Molecule: RNase P RNA, 384 nt
Filed under: Lentibacillus amyloliquefaciens
Lineage: Bacteria; Bacillati; Bacillota; Bacilli; Caryophanales; Bacillaceae
Description: Bacterial RNase P class B
Rfam family: Bacterial RNase P class B
About the family: Ribonuclease P (RNase P) is a ubiquitous endoribonuclease, found in archaea, bacteria and eukarya as well as chloroplasts and mitochondria.
Source: Rfam by way of RNAcentral
AUACUGACGUAAUCGCUGUAUAUGAUGCAUAUACAGAGGAAAGUCCAUGCUCACACAGGCUGCGAUGCCUGUAGUGUUCGUGCUUGACGAAACCAUAAGUCAAGGUGGCCAUCGAGGCUAACGGCAGCAAAAACCCCUAAAUCAAUUGACAUGGGGGAGUAUGCUUGAAAGUGCCACAGUGACGCAGUCGGGCUGGAAACAGUCCGAAUGGAACGCGGUAAACCCCACGAGUGAGCAACCCAAAUAUUGGUAGGGGCACCCUUGAUUAGGGAAAUGAACCGAAAAAGGGACAAGGAUUGCAAAUGCUUGUAGAUAGAUGAUUACGACCGAUGUACAAGGCUGACCACCGCAUGAGUACAACGGAACAGAACAUGGCUUACCAAG